UACAUUUUUGAUUGCACGCCUCUGAUCAAAUGCCACAGCUGUUAAUGCAUUUAUAAUGAGUCAGUGCUCGAGAAUAAAACGGUUGAGUUAACCAACGGCAUGUUCGGGGAUAAUCGCCGGGAUUUUUCAAACGAGUGGAGAUUACAGUGUUAAAAAUUUUCCAUUGAAAUUUUCAGCGAGAUAUAUAAUAUUUUUAUUAAAUGCCCUAAGUAAUUUUAAAAAAAUACAUAAUGUGUAAAAGUUUUGGAUAUCACUAUCAUUAUCAUUGAAUUUUAGGUUUCGAUUAGUAAAUUCUUUAUCUCGCUCAAAACUUUCUAUAAAUGUGCGUGAUUUCCGUUUUUUGUUUUUUUUUUCGAAAUUCAACAGCGAAGUGGCACAUAAAGCGAUAUUAAAUCAAUUUCAGAGUCGAAGAAAAUAUCGAUUGAUCAAGCUGCCAGGAUAGAUCGAUAAUUAUAAUAAACCCGCGAUAUUUGAAAAAUGAGUACGGACAUGGAAAUUUUGUGAGAAAAUUGGAGUGAAUUAUGUCGAGCGACGCUCAUUACACCUCGAAAUAACCGAAUAACAACGCCACGGUGUCAUCUGUCAGUCAUGAAAGAUAACGUAACGGAAUUUGUGUGCGCACGACAGUGUCGGCAACAACUCAGAAAUACUGAACAGUAUCCAACAAAAUCACAACAAAUUUCUCCUCCGAGUGCAAUAAUAAUUAUCAAAUGUCCAUUAACUCCGCAGUUCAAGUAAAAACUCUCCGCUAAGACCACUCUUGACUGGAUUAUUGUUAGCCAUUGAAAGACUCGAGCGAUCAACUGUAAAAAAAAAACAGCGAUAAAAGAAGGCGGAUACCGGCAAGUGGAAUAGUGAAGGUACCGUCUCCUUCAGUGACGUCGACGUCGUUCCACACUCGGCUUUAAACCUUUUCCCCUCUCCGCAAACAACUUCCUCAGCCACAGACACUGACACAUACUUUCAGAGAUAUUAUCGGUGAAGGAUGGAGUGAUGCCGAGGGGGAGGAAACCGAGAAUAUGAUCCUUUUCCGGGUGGGAUUAAUCACGUUUUACUGCUGGUGGCAUCAGUGAUUAAAGACUUUUUUUCAAAUUACAAUGCACUUCCCCUGCACUCGCGAUUUUUAGUUUUCGCGAAUUCCUCACAAAUACGUGUGGGAGGAAUAAAUAAUGACGUAGAGGGGGUGUAAGAGAGCGUCGAUGAGUCAACGCCCGUCAUAUCCGUGAAUUUGUAAGAAUAAAUCGAGGAUCACAAUACAAGAUAUCUCUCUCAAUCUCUCGGACUCGGUCAAUGGAUGACUCAUGAGCUCCUCCAUGAGCUCCUCCAUGUAAUGGUUAAUUACUCUAGUCUUGAAAUACAGGAACGUCAUAGGUGGAAUAAAAGAGGCGUAAUGAAUUUGCAUGUCUGCAGGAAUUCAGUGAUAAUCCUAGCGGAUUUACUCGGAAAUUUUAUACGAGACCGAGAAAAAAAAAAGAUUGUUAAUUUUCAGGAAAAGUUACUUGAUACUAGAACUCUGUAUUAAUGCAAAUUAAUG
Fopius arisanus is the source of this 1534-nucleotide long non-coding RNA. RefSeq lists it as uncharacterized. The transcript has 3 exons. The record is from RefSeq and is a predicted model, not a curated record. Lineage: Eukaryota; Metazoa; Arthropoda; Insecta; Hymenoptera; Braconidae.